Molecule: ribosomal RNA, 429 nt
Filed under: uncultured Acidobacterium sp.
Lineage: Bacteria; Pseudomonadati; Acidobacteriota; Terriglobia; Terriglobales; Acidobacteriaceae
Description: bacterial SSU rRNA
Rfam family: Bacterial small subunit ribosomal RNA
Source: RNAcentral
AACGCGAAGAACCUUACCUGGGCUCGAAAUGUAGUGGAAUCGGGUAGAAAUAUCCGCGUCUCGCAAGAGACUGCUAUAUAGGUGCUGCAUGGCUGUCGUCAGCUCGUGUCGUGAGAUGUUGGGUUAAGUCCCGCAACGAGCGCAACCCUUAUCCCUAGUUGCCAUCGGGUCAAGCCGGGCACUCUAGUGAAACCGCCCGGGAUAACCGGGAGGAAGGUGGGGAUGACGUCAAGUCCUCAUGGCCUUUAUGUCCAGGGCUACACACGUGCUACAAUGGUCGGUACAAACCGUCGCAAACCCGCGAGGGGGAGCUAAUCGGAAAAAGCCGGCCUCAGUUCGGAUUGGAGUCUGCAACCCGACUCCAUGAAGCUGGAAUCGCUAGUAAUCGCGGAUCAGAACGCCGCGGUGAAUACGUUCCCGGGCCUUGUA